AGUUCAGAUCGCAGUCUGCAACCCGACUGCGUGAAGUCGGAAUCGCUAGUAAUCGCGGAUCAGCAUGCCGCGGUGAAUACGUUCCCGGGCCUUGUACACACCGCCCGUCACACCAUGAGAGUUGGGAACACCCGAAGUCCGUAGCCUAACCGCAAGGGGGACGCGGCCGAAGGUGGGUUCAAUAAUUGGGGUGAAGUCGUAACAAGGUAAC
This 211-nucleotide ribosomal RNA is filed under the name uncultured bacterium. RNAcentral's name for it is "partial 16S ribosomal RNA". It matches the Rfam family "Bacterial small subunit ribosomal RNA", at positions 1290 to 1500 of the family's 1533-position model. The record is from RNAcentral.